This is an RNA transcript of Populus nigra (black poplar), 1850 nucleotides long. It is a transcript of the gene named ATP phosphoribosyltransferase 2, chloroplastic-like, with no coding region annotated. The record is from RefSeq and is a predicted model, not a curated record. The transcript is spliced from 12 exons. Lineage: Eukaryota; Viridiplantae; Streptophyta; Magnoliopsida; Malpighiales; Salicaceae.
UUUAUCAUUUGAACUUUUGAAGUUUUCCAAAGGACAAUGUGUUUUGAAGCACGUGGUUAUCACCGUAAAUAGUUCAUUUUCCGACAAGGAGUGUAUCUGACAAAACAGCAGAAAGCCAAGAGAAUCAAUUACAGCAUAUCCAUCUUCUUCCCUGCUGCCUCAUCUCUCUCUUUCUCUCUUCGCUCAGUCCCACACUCAAUAGAGAUGUCUCUGCGACUUCACUUGCCGAACUUCCAACAAUGCUCCUCUCCUCUCUCUUCCUCCCUUUCUCUCCCUCCAUGUUUUCAUGUCCCUUGCUCUCAAAGACGAUGGCCACAUGCCACUUGGAGCAGCAGCAUUGCUUGCCGCUUGCCCCAGCAGCAGCAAUCUGUUGCUGUUAUUGAGAAAAACGAGACUAGUACUAGUGUACUGUCUGAAAGAAAAGUGAUUCGUUUCGGUUUGCCUAGCAAAGGACGCAUGGCUGCCGAUACUCUCGAUCUCCUCAAGGAUUGUCAGUUGUUGGUGAACCAAGUCAACCCUCGACAAUACGUUGCAGAAAUUCCUCAGCUUUCCAACUUGGAAGUGUGGUUUCAACGACCCAAAGACAUUGUAAGAAAGUUGUUGUCAGGAGAUCUGGACCUUGGAAUUGUGGGUUUUGAUACUUUCAGUGAAUAUGGACUGGGAAAUGAAGAUCUUAUCAUUGUUCAUGAUGCUCUUGGAUACGGGGACUGCCGUUUAUCCCUUGCAAUUCCUAAUCAUGGGAUAUUUGAAAGUAUAAAUUCACUGAGGGAGCUAUCACAAAUGCCUCAAUGGACAGCUUCGAAACCUCUACGAAUAGCUACUGGAUUCACUCACCUUGGUCCUAAAUUUAUGAAGGAUAAUGGGUUCGUGAAUGUGGCAUUUUCAACUGCUGAUGGAGCACUGGAAGCUGCUCCUGCGAUGGGGAUAGCUGAUGCUAUUUUGGACCUUGUGAGCAGUGGAACAACACUGAAAGAAAACAACUUGAAAGAAAUUGAAGGUGGAGUUUUGUUGGAGAGCCAGGCCGUUCUUGUUGCUAGGAGAAAAUCAUUGGUCGAACAAAAGGACGUGAGGUGCAGAACAAAAGAGAUUCUAGAAAGGUUUGAGGCUCAUUUGAGGGCGGUUGAUCAGUUCACGGUGACUGCACACAUGAGAGGAAGUAGUGCAGAGGAAGUGGCUGGACGAGUGUGCAGCCAACCAUCUCUGUCCGGAUUGGAGGGACCUACUAUAAGUCCAGUUUUCUGCAAACGUAAUGGAAAGGUUACGCCUGAUUACUAUGCUAUAGUGAUAUGUGUUCCAAAGAAAGCAUUAUACAAGUCUGUGCAGCAGCUGAGAGAGGAGGGGUUUGGGUCGGCGGAGUGGUAAUCUUUGGUCUCAUUGAACACUACAUCCCUCAGUCUCAAGAUAACUUAUAUAUCAAUGAUGGCUCUGCAUAAUUUAACUUGGCAAUCCAGACACGACAAACUUUUAGUUUGGUGUGGACAUGACAGAUUGGAGGCAGCGGUGUUUUAGUUUCUCCUUUAACUUACAUUUUUGAGGAAGUCACGCCAAGAUGGAAGGAGCUUCUUUUAAAACUGGGGUUGUAAUUUAGGGUUCUACCACUUCCUUGCAAAUUUGAGCAGCUCUCAAGGUCGGAAAGCUUUGUCAAGUUUAAUGAAUGAACAGGAAGGGGAAGAAAACAUGUCAUCAAGGCUCUGGUGACUAAUGAAUUUGUUGACAGUCUGAUUCUUUAAUGUUCUUUCACGUCAUGUUUUGUCUUGAAUUUAAUCGAAAUCAUUAAAUUAAAAUUGAAUAAAGAUGAUUUAAUAUUAUAACAAAAACUAAAAAUAAGUAUUCAUUUCACUUUUUAUCUA